GUGCUCACUCCAGCAGCACAUAUACUAAAAUUGGAAGGAUGCAGAGAAUAGCAUGGCCUCUGCUCAAGGAUGACAUGCAAAUUCAUGAAGUGUUCCAUAUUUUU
Molecule: small nuclear RNA, 104 nt
Organism: Pteronotus mesoamericanus
Lineage: Eukaryota; Metazoa; Chordata; Mammalia; Chiroptera; Mormoopidae
Source: RefSeq, a predicted model, not a curated record